RNAcentral lists this ribosomal RNA (625 nucleotides) under uncultured bacterium. Its description in RNAcentral is "bacterial SSU rRNA". It matches the Rfam family "Bacterial small subunit ribosomal RNA", at positions 84 to 730 of the family's 1533-position model. The record is from RNAcentral.
UUUCUUGAUUAGUGGCGCACGGGUGAGUAAUGCAUAGAUAAUGUGCCCCUUAGUUCGGGAUAGCCACUGGAAACGGUGAUUAAUACCGGAUACUCCUUCUUGUUAUAAGACAAGUCGGGAAAGUUUUUCGCUAAGGGAUCAGUCUAUGUUCCAUCAGCUUGUUGGUGAGGUAAUGGCUCACCAAGGCUAUGACGGAUAUCUGGUUUGAGAGGAUGAUCAGACACACUGGAACUGAGACACGGUCCAGACUCCUACGGGAGGCAGCAGUGAGGAAUAUUGCACAAUGGAGGAAACUCUGAUGCAGCAACGCCGCGUGGAGGAUGACGCAUUUCGGUGUGUAAACUCCUUUUAUUAGGGAAGAUAAUGACGGUACCUAAUGAAUAAGCACCGGCUAACUCCGUGCCAGCAGCCGCGGUAAUACGGAGGGUGCAAGCGUUACUCGGAAUCACUGGGCGUAAAGGGUGCGUAGGCUGGCUUUUAAGUCAGAUGUGAAAUCCAAUGGCUCAACCAUUGAACUGCAUUUGAAACUGAAAGCCUAGAGUUCAGAAGGGGCAGAUGGAAUUAGUGGUGUAGGGGUAAAAUCCGUAGAUAUCACUAGGAAUAUCAAAAGCGAAGGCGAUCUGCU